RNAcentral lists this ribosomal RNA (451 nucleotides) under uncultured bacterium. RNAcentral's name for it is "partial 16S ribosomal RNA". It matches the Rfam family "Bacterial small subunit ribosomal RNA", at positions 29 to 523 of the family's 1533-position model. The record is from RNAcentral.
AGCGAACGCUGGCGGCAGGCUUAACACAUGCAAGUCGAGCGGGCAUAGCAAUAUGUCAGCGGCAGACGGGUGAGUAACGCGUGGGAACGUACCUUAUGGUUCGGAACAACACUGGGAAACUUGAGCUAAUACCGGAUAAGCCCUUACGGGGAAAGAUUUAUCGCCGAAAGAUCGGCCCGCGUCUGAUUAGCUAGUUGGUGAGGUAAUGGCUCACCAAGGCGACGAUCAGUAGCUGGUCUGAGAGGAUGAUCAGCCACAUUGGGACUGAGACACGGCCCAAACUCCUACGGGAGGCAGCAGUGGGGAAUAUUGGACAAUGGGCGCAAGCCUGAUCCAGCCAUGCCGCGUGAGUGAUGAAGGCCCUAGGGUUGUAAAGCUCUUUUGUGCGGGAAGAUAAUGACGGUACCGCAAGAAUAAGCCCCGGCUAACUUCGUGCCAGCAGCCGCCGUAA